GAUGAACGCUGGCGGCGUGCCUAAUACAUGCAAGUCGAGCGAUCAGACGAGGAGCUUGCUCCUCUGACGUUAGCGGCGGACGGGUGAGUAACACGUGGAUAACCUACCUAUAAGACUGGGAUAACUUCGGGAAACCGGAGCUAAUACCGGAUAAUAUAUUGAACCGCAUGGUUCAAUAGUGAAAGACGGUUUUGCUGUCACUUAUAGAUGUAUCCGCGCUGCAUUAGCUAGUUGGUAAGGUAACGGCUUACCAAGGCAACGAUGCGUAGCCGACCUGAGAGGGUGAUCGGCCACACUGGAACUGAGACACGGUCCAGACUCCUACGGGAGGCAGCAGUAGGGAAUCUCCCGCAAUGGGCGAAAGCCUGACGGAGCAACGCCGCGUGAGUGAUGAAGGUCUUCGGAUCGUAAAACUCUGUUAUUAGGGAAGAACAAAUGUGUAAGUAACUAUGCACGUCUUGACGGUACCUAAUCAGAAAGCCACGGCUAACUACGUG
Molecule: ribosomal RNA, 497 nt
Filed under: uncultured bacterium
Lineage: Bacteria
Description: partial 16S ribosomal RNA
Rfam family: Bacterial small subunit ribosomal RNA
Source: RNAcentral